Non-coding RNA from Sardina pilchardus (European sardine), 623 nucleotides. Lineage: Eukaryota; Metazoa; Chordata; Actinopteri; Clupeiformes; Clupeidae. The record is from the annotation of a RefSeq genome assembly.
CCGGGGUCGACAGCAUCGGUCGGGAUUACAGACACUAGGCACUGCUGCCAGAAUCACCUUUCUGCCUCACCAUGACCUGCUGGAUGAACACCUUGGGCAUUCUAACUGCAAUCUGUGCUGUGUGUGCAGCAAGUAAAGACAGUGUUAAUCAAACUGAGCCCCAUGUGAUAAGUACUGAAGGAGAAACAGUGAAUCUCACCUGUGAAUAUGAGACAACAAGUAACAAACCUUACCUCUUCUGGUACAAACAGAAACUGGGUAAAAUACCUGGCUAUUUACUGGGACGUGGAAGUUAUCAAGCUGGCCAUAACGGCACUGAGUUCAGUGAGAGAUUCCACUGCACCUUCUCCUCCAGCUCUGUUCCUCUGAUCAUCAGGAAUCUGCAAGUGUCUGACUCUGCUGUCUACUACUGUGCCCUGCAGCCCACAAAAUAUGUUCUUGUUUACUGCUAUCCUUGCUGCUGCAAUAAUAGGUGAUGGUAGUUCUGAGACAAUAAUUGCACCUAACAGCAUGGAGGUGUGGAUCCACAGUUACACUGUCUUGUAACAUCACCACAACAUUCAGGACUCUCCAGUGGUAUCAGCAGCAUUCCAAAUCAGCUCCGAAGCAUCUUUUGAAUGUGU